This 536-nucleotide ribosomal RNA is filed under the name Streptomyces sp. 306H03. Its description in RNAcentral is "bacterial SSU rRNA". It matches the Rfam family "Bacterial small subunit ribosomal RNA", at positions 93 to 643 of the family's 1533-position model. The record is from RNAcentral. Lineage: Bacteria; Bacillati; Actinomycetota; Actinomycetes; Kitasatosporales; Streptomycetaceae.
CAGUGGCGAACGGGUGAGUAACACGUGGGCAAUCUGCCCUGCACUCUGGGACAAGCCCUGGAAACGGGGUCUAAUACCGGAUAUUACUGUCGCAGGCAUCUGUGAUGGUGGAAAGCUCCGGCGGUGCAGGAUGAGCCCGCGGCCUAUCAGCUUGUUGGUGGGGUGAUGGCCUACCAAGGCGACGACGGGUAGCCGGCCUGAGAGGGCGACCGGCCACACUGGGACUGAGACACGGCCCAGACUCCUACGGGAGGCAGCAGUGGGGAAUAUUGCACAAUGGGCGAAAGCCUGAUGCAGCGACGCCGCGUGAGGGAUGACGGCCUUCGGGUUGUAAACCUCUUUCAGCAGGGAAGAAGCGCAAGUGACGGUACCUGCAGAAGAAGCACCGGCUAACUACGUGCCAGCAGCCGCGGUAAUACGUAGGGUGCGAGCGUUGUCCGGAAUUAUUGGGCGUAAAGAGCUCGUAGGCGGCUUGUCGCGUCGGAUGUGAAAGCCCGGGGCUUAACUCCGGGUCUGCAUUCGAUACGGGCAGGCUA